GUAGGUGGCAAGCGUUGUCCGGAAUUAUUGGGCGUAAAGCGCGCGCAGGCGGUUCGUUUAAGUCUGAUGUGAAAGCCCACGGGCUCAACCGUGGAGGGUCAUUGGAAACUGGAGAACUUGAGUACAGAAGAGGAAAGCGGAAUUCCACGUGUAGCGGUGAAAUGCGUAGAGAUGUGGAGGAACACCAGUGGCGAAGGCGGCUUUCUGGUCUGUAACUGACGCUGAGGCGCGAAAGCGUGGGGAGCAAGCAGGAUUAGAUACCCUGGUAGUCCACGCCGUAAACGAUGAGUGCUAAGUGUUAGGGGGUUUCCGCCCCUUAGUGCUGCAGCUAACGCAUUAAGCACUCCGCCUGGGGAGUACGGCCGCAAGGCUG
This 373-nucleotide ribosomal RNA is filed under the name uncultured organism. RNAcentral's name for it is "partial 16S ribosomal RNA". It matches the Rfam family "Bacterial small subunit ribosomal RNA", at positions 527 to 896 of the family's 1533-position model. The record is from RNAcentral.